GCCUGGAUGGCUCAGUCGGUUGAGCAUCUGACUUCAGCUCAGGUCACGAUCUCACUAUCCAUGAGUUCAAGUCCCAUGUGGGGCU
RNAcentral lists this transfer RNA (85 nucleotides) under Felis catus (domestic cat). It matches the Rfam family "tRNA". From Rfam's summary of the family: Transfer RNA (tRNA) molecules are approximately 80 nucleotides in length. The record is from Rfam by way of RNAcentral. Lineage: Eukaryota; Metazoa; Chordata; Mammalia; Carnivora; Felidae.